This 68-nucleotide ribosomal RNA is filed under the name Staphylococcus aureus. RNAcentral's name for it is "partial 23S ribosomal RNA". The record is from RNAcentral. Lineage: Bacteria; Bacillati; Bacillota; Bacilli; Caryophanales; Staphylococcaceae.
AGAUUAAGUUAUUAAGGGCGCACGGUGGAUGCCUUGGCACUAGAAACCGAUGAAGGACGUUACUAACG